RNAcentral lists this ribosomal RNA (380 nucleotides) under uncultured bacterium. RNAcentral's name for it is "bacterial SSU rRNA". It matches the Rfam family "Bacterial small subunit ribosomal RNA", at positions 355 to 727 of the family's 1533-position model. The record is from RNAcentral.
UGGGGAAUAUUGGACAAUGGGCGCAAGCCUGAUCCAGCCAUACCGCGUGGGUGAAGAAGGCCUUCGGGUUGUAAAGCCCUUUUGUUGGGAAAGAAAUCCAGCCGGCUAAUACCUGGUUGGGAUGACGGUACCCAAAGAAUAAGCACCGGCUAACUUCGUGCCAGCAGCCGCGGUAAUACGAAGGGUGCAAGCGUUACUCGGAAUUACUGGGCGUAAAGCGUGCGUAGGUGGUCGUUUAAGUCCGUUGUGAAAGCCCUGGGCUCAACCUGGGAACUGCAGUGGAUACUGGGCGACUAGAGUGUGGUAGAGGGUAGCGGAAUUCCUGGUGUAGCAGUGAAAUGCGUAGAGAUCAGGAGGAACAUCCAUGGCGAAGGCAGCUA